This 211-nucleotide long non-coding RNA is filed under the name Lathyrus oleraceus (garden pea). RNAcentral's name for it is "Pisum sativum (pea) long non-coding RNA (PSAT_LNC041401)". The record is from RNAcentral. Lineage: Eukaryota; Viridiplantae; Streptophyta; Magnoliopsida; Fabales; Fabaceae.
UUUCAUGGAGCUGUUAAAUUUUCUUCCAAUGUCGAAUAAAUCAUCUAAUAGCCUUUCCUUAGUGUCCUUUUCAUAUUGCUCUCUCUCUCUCUCUCUCUCUCUCUCUUAUAUAUAUAUAUAUAUUGUUUUUCAUGGAGCUGUUAAAUUUUCUUCCUAUGUCGAUUAAAUCAUCUAAUAGCCUUUCCAUAGUGUCCUUUUCAUAUUGCUCUCU